Molecule: ribosomal RNA, 17 nt
Filed under: Prunus buergeriana
Lineage: Eukaryota; Viridiplantae; Streptophyta; Magnoliopsida; Rosales; Rosaceae
Description: partial 28S ribosomal RNA
Source: RNAcentral
CGACCCCAGUCAGAAGA